UGGUACCAGAAUACGGAAGUAUUCAUGCUUUGGAAAAAUCAUAGACUUUAUCUUCAAGUUUUUCUUUUUCAGGCCAUCAAGGUAAAACCAAUCACAUCUAAACAGAAAUACUGAUGUGUUCGUAAUUGACCUCAAGAACUUGCUUCGACACCCCGUAUAGUUCUCUCUUCUUUAGAGUUAUCAACACCUACCUUCAUCAUGAUGCCCGGAUUCCAUUUUCUUUAAUUCUUCCUUGUGAACCAUGUGUAAAAUAAGUAAACUAGUCAUGAAAAAACAUUGUAGUACGAGUUAGUUAGGUGAUUGAAACUUACUCCAUGUAUCCGUGUACUUCUGGACAAUUGUCAAGUAUAUAUCUAUACAUUUUGCCCCAUUCAUCUGAUCAUGUUUCGUAUGGGCCACUCAAUGCCAACAUGACCACCAUCUAAUAUACAUAGACUUCCUCUCCUAGAUUUCUGCUUUUUGUCCUUCUAACCAUUCUUACUCAUCUCCGUACGUGGUUUGUUAAAACUGGUCUCUAUGUAUUUUUUCAAAAUGUUGACUAGUUCCGCUUACGCUCUUAGGUUGGAAAUACACCUGGCCGCUGCACACCAGUUUUAAUUUCUGAGCCAUGAAUCACCCAAGGCAAUGGUUAAGUAAAACUCUAAGUGGGAAGGUCACAACCUCCAAUAGCAUGAAUAUCCUACAAUGGUCAAAACUAUCUUUUCAUGCCCCUGGACCAAGUCACAUGACUACCAAGGCCAAUGGUAUCAUUCACUAUGGCCUCUCAUUACGGCCAUACUCCUCUUGUGAAGAGACAUGUGGUGGCACAAAAAUAGUUAGGAAUUAACGGAACAAGACUAGAUCUAUUUCGACUCUGGAGGUUCUUAUAUUUCAUGCACAGUGAUAUGUCCCAACAUGCCCA
This 901-nucleotide long non-coding RNA is filed under the name Hordeum vulgare. RNAcentral describes it as "long non-coding RNA (HVUL_LNC015755)". Lineage: Eukaryota; Viridiplantae; Streptophyta; Magnoliopsida; Poales; Poaceae. The record is from RNAcentral.